Molecule: ribosomal RNA, 440 nt
Filed under: uncultured Arcobacter sp.
Lineage: Bacteria; Pseudomonadati; Campylobacterota; Epsilonproteobacteria; Campylobacterales; Arcobacteraceae
Description: bacterial SSU rRNA
Rfam family: Bacterial small subunit ribosomal RNA
Source: RNAcentral
UAACGCGAAGAACCUUACCUGGACUUGACAUUGAUAGGAUCCUGUAGAGAUAUGGGAGUGCUAGCUUGCUAGAGCUUGAAAACAGGUGCUGCACGGCUGUCGUCAGCUCGUGUCGUGAGAUGUUGGGUUAAGUCCCGCAACGAGCGCAACCCACGUCGUUAGUUGCUAACAGUUAGGCUGAGAACUCUAACGAGACUGCCUUCGUAAGGAGGAGGAAGGUGUGGACGACGUCAAGUCAUCAUGGCCCUUACGUCCAGGGCUACACACGUGCUACAAUGGGAUAUACAAAGAGCAGCGAUACAGUGAUGUGGAGCAAAUCUCAUAAAAUAUCUCCCAGUUCGGAUUGUAGUCUGCAACUCGACUACAUGAAGUUGGAAUCGCUAGUAAUCGUAGAUCAGCAUUGCUACGGUGAAUACGUUCCCGGGUCUUGNACACACCGA